Molecule: ribosomal RNA, 253 nt
Filed under: uncultured bacterium
Lineage: Bacteria
Description: partial 16S ribosomal RNA
Rfam family: Bacterial small subunit ribosomal RNA
Source: RNAcentral
UACGUAGGGUGCGAGCGUUGUCCGGAAUUAUUGGGCGUAAAGGGCUCGUAGGCGGUCUGUUGCGUCGGGAGUGAAAACUCAGGGCUUAACCCUGAGCCUGCUUCCGAUACGGGCAGACUAGAGGUAUGCAGGGGAGAACGGAAUUCCUGGUGUAGCGGUGAAAUGCGUAGAUAUCAAGAGGAACACCUGAGGUGAAGACGGGUUGCUGGGCCGACACUGACGCUGAAGCGCGAAAGCCAGGGGAGCAAACGGG